Mus musculus (house mouse) is the source of this 611-nucleotide long non-coding RNA. RefSeq annotates it as predicted gene, 42335. The transcript has 2 exons. NCBI's taxonomy places the organism in Eukaryota, Metazoa, Chordata, Mammalia, Rodentia, Muridae. The record is from RefSeq and is a predicted model, not a curated record.
CCCCCCAAGAAUGAGUCCCUGUCACCUGGGAGCUGGCCUGCAGGACACCAGCUGCUCUGCCCCAUGGCAACCCGCUGCUUCCACACAGUGGGCUGGAUGAGGACAUGAAGAGACAGAGGCCUACAGCCCUCCAAACCAGAGGCAACAGGUCACCCAUUCAUCCACUACUGCAGCCACUGGCAAUAUGGUAUUAUGAUGUGGGUAUGAUAUGUUCUCUCCAAACGGGCCGUGUUGAAGGUUUGGUCCCCAGCUGACAGACCAUGGGGGCGCCCACUUCAUCUCCUGCUCAAUUCAUUGUGUUUGGUUUGGAUCGGAGACAGGGUCUCUACCCGAGCUCCUGCUCAAUUCAUUGUGUUUGGUUUGGAUCGGAGACAGGGUCUCUACCCGAGCUGGCCUCACUGAUACAGGAGAUGAACAACUGAUCUCCUUAGCAACAGCUGAGAGUCACCAUGCCACUUACUGAUGUGCUGGGAUCAAGCCCAGGGCUUCUUGGAUACUGGGCAAGCGCUGAACCAACUGAGCUGGACCCCAGGCCUGACUCGAUCCAGAUGAAUUUAUACUGAAUGCACUUUUAAAGAGAUGAGACCUGAAUAAAAGUCUCUCUGUCUCUC